CCCCCUCCCCGGGCACGCGGCGAGGGAGGCGGCCGGCGGCCGGCAGCGCCCGCGCGGGAUCGAUGACUCGGCUGGCGGGCACGGUCACCUGGGUGAGGGGCAGCGGAAGGGGCGGCGGAGCACCGAUCUCAUGGAUGGGCUCCGAGGGGCUUGCGGGAGGGGGGCGCCAGUGUUCGGGGCCGUUUUGGCGGCUAUGCAGGAUUGGCAGGAGCUGCGAUGCUCACACUUGCCUCGCCGACCGCCAUUUCACAUCCAGCAGAGGAGGCGGGGGCAGCCGCUGAGACGGUUUUUCACAAGAAAUUAUUUUAAUAGAGAUGAGGUCUCACUAUAUUGCCCAAGCUGGUCUCGAACUCCUGGGCUCAAGCGAUCUUCCUGCCUCAGCCUCCCAAAGUGCUGAGAUAACAGGUAUGAGCCACCAUGCCCUGCGAAAUUAUUCUUUUUGAGACAGAGUGAGACUCUGUCACCCAGGCUGGGGUGCAGUGACCCAAUCUCAACUCACUGCAGUCUUGACUUCCCAGGCUCAAGCAAUCCUCCCACCUCAGCCUCCUGAGUAGCUGGGACUACAGGCGUGCACCUCUACACCCAGCUAUUUUUCAUAUUUUUUUGGAGACAGGGUUUCACUAUAUUGCCCAGGCUGGUCUCGAACUCCUGAGCUCAAGUGAUCUGCCUGCCUUGGCCUCCCAAAGUGCUGGGAUUACAGGUGUGAGCCAUGGCGCCCAGCCUCAAGCUAAAUUAUUCUUUGUGUCAUCCCUUUUCUUUCCUUCACUUUCAGAUAACUCAGUUUUCUUAACUACUGUAGGGCAAAUGUCUGAGUCAUUUAGUUCAGUGUUCCUCAACCAGGGGUGAUUUUUGCCGCCCUAGGGGACAUUUGGCAAAAUAUCUGGAGGCAUUUUUGAUUAUCACAUCUUACAAUGCAUAGGGCAGCCCCUGCAGCGCAAAGAAUUAUCAGGUCCAAAGUGUCAAUAGUGCAGGUGUUGAAAAACCCUGGCCUAGUUUAAAGUAAAUUUGUACCCAGCCCUUCAUCCAGUCUCUUGCCUUUAUGAAACCAUGAUGGAAAAGAAACUCAUUCCCUUUCAGAGGCAUUUGGAAGGCCUAAGUAAGUACGGCAAACUUUGGAGUCAAUUGCAUCAACCAUACAAAGUCCCAAAAGGCUUUAUAUGCAGGUUUCUGCAAUUUCUCCAUAGAACCUUCCUGGGUACAAGGUAGGCACAUAAAUAUUUGUUGCCUAAAUGAAUAAUAAUAAAAUAAUUCUUGGCUAAAAGACAUAUUUUAUUUCUUUCUCUUUAAACCAAAGUCAGAUUUAUCAUGUGGUGAGAGAUGAAUUUCCUGAACAGAGAUCUCUCUAUUCAUUUUAACCAAUUAAUUUACUCAGUUACUCAGAGAAGCAAAACUUUUCUGAAACAACUUCCACUUCCAUAAGUUAGCAGUAAUAGUCUUAAGGAAGGAAUUGAUAGCCUAUAAAUUAAAGAUGAUGUUUGAGGAACAAGAAAUAAAAGAAACUUUCAGAAUAGAGUAAUAUUAGAACUGAUGCCUGAGCUUUCCAGGACCCUCAUUUAAAUUACAUAUCCAGAAUUGAUAUUGGAGCAUUUCCAAUGGAUUAUAUUAUAGAUAGGCAGGAGGAGACCAAACACACAUAGAGUAAGGAUAGAUAAAAUUCCCAAUUUAAAUAAUUAAGAUGCAAAAUCUCAGAAGCUAGGUAUCUAUUUGGAUCAACAUAUCUCAGGGUAGUUUCCCCUGGCCCCAAAGUUUAUUGCAUUUUAAUAUUCACAGUGUAAAUCACAUUCCAGAAAAACUCCCACUAAAAAGCUUUUUACUGAGACUGGGCAGGGUGGCUCAUGCCUGUAAUCCCAGUACUUUGGAAGACCAAGGUGAGAUUAUUGCUUGAGCCCAGAAGUUUGAGACCAGCUUGGGCAACAUAGUGAGACCUUGUCGCUACAAAAAAUUAACAAUUAGCCAGGCGUGGUGAUGUAUGCCUGUAGUCCCACUUACUCAGGAGGCUGAGGCAGGAGGAUCACUGGAGCCUAGGAAGUUGAAGCUGCAGUGAGCCAUGAUCACCACUGCACUCCAGCCUGGGUCACAGAGCAAGACCCUGUCUCAAAAAACACACACACAGAAAACUUUGUUAUUGACACUGGAUUCUCCUAGAUUUUGCUUUAUUUUACAUCCUCAUUCCAGAGGCCAGAAAAGACUACUUAUUCUCAGAUGUGUAAAUAUAGAUAAGUCCUUCUGUUUCUUCAUUUUCUCAAUAAAAUGUAUUUUUCCAAUUUUAAAAGUUUUUAAAUGCAUAGCAUGGAAAACAUGGAGGACAAUAAAGAAAAAUAUAGAACAUUCAGUCUCACCCAGUGGAAGUCAUGAUUAACAUUCUAGUCCAUUCUGUUUCUAGAAAAUUUUUCUGUAAAUAUAUUACAUAGAGAAAAUAAUGUCCUAGUUUUUUCACUUUGCAUCAUAACAAGCAUUUUCCAUGUAAAUUAAAACUCUUCAUAUACAUUGUUUUAAUGGCUGCAAAAUAUGCUGUGUUGUGGACAUAUGAUAAUUUACCUAACCAUUUUCCCACUGUUGGCCAACAACAGAAUGGUUCAAAUUUUACAUUAUCUUGUAUAUCACACUGAGCAUUUUUAGGCUGAAAAUUUUGCUCCAUUUUGGAUCCUAUCCUGAAUUUUUCAAGGAACUUACUUUCUAGUUCACUAUUUGAUAUCACCAGUUCUUGGUACAUACCAUGUUCUUUCUACACAGAAGAGAGAAUUGCAUGUGAUACUCAUUCUGCCUGGUUUGCUCUUCCUUUCCCUGUCUCUUUUUGCCAAGUUAACCCACUCUUUUCUUUCUUAAAGAUUUCAGUAAGUAGGAGUAGAGACCUUCCUGUGUCAGUACUUAGUCAAAAUAUAAAAUUGGAAUAGGAAGAAGAUUUUUUAAUAGAGGUUUUUUUGUUGUUUGCUUUUUUUACUUGAAGUUCCGGGAUACAUGUGCAGAAUGUGCAGGUUUGUUACUUAGGUAUACAUGUGCCAUGGUGGUUUGCUGCACCUAU
Molecule: long non-coding RNA, 3022 nt
Filed under: Homo sapiens (human)
Lineage: Eukaryota; Metazoa; Chordata; Mammalia; Primates; Hominidae
Description: non-protein coding TRAF3IP2-AS1:32
Source: RNAcentral